UCAAGAGUACGUGAAACCGUUCAGGGGUAAACCUGAGAAACCCGAAAGAUCGAAUGGGGAGAUUCACCGUCAGCGAUGUCGGCUUCUCGGUGUUUCGUGAUGCGCGGCGCUCUUUCGGGCGACGUCGCACGCGUUCACUGUGCUUUUAUGUCCGGUUGCGUCGGCGUGCACUUCUCCCCUAGUAGGACGUCGCGACCCGUUGGGUGUCGGUCUACGGCCCGGGUUGUCGCCUGUCCCGUCGCUUCGGCGUCGCGGGUCAGACACCCGGUAGCCCGGCCGGCUGCUCGGCGGUACUCGCACGGUAUCUGGUCGCAAUCUCGAACUGCGUCUCAGGCCCGCCGCAAGCGCGGUCAGUGCACCUGGAGGUACGGACCUAGUGCCGUCCCCGGUCCUGGCUCGCUGUUCGCCGGCGGUGUCCUCUGACAGACCACGUGAUUUUGAUACCGGUCGGCGACGCUACUGCUUUGGGUACUUUCAGGACCCGUCUUGAAA
RNAcentral lists this ribosomal RNA (492 nucleotides) under Prosevania sp. DERV036. RNAcentral's name for it is "eukaryotic LSU rRNA". Lineage: Eukaryota; Metazoa; Arthropoda; Insecta; Hymenoptera; Evaniidae. The record is from RNAcentral.